UCACAAGAUAAGUUGACACGGGGU
Molecule: non-coding RNA, 24 nt
Filed under: Rattus norvegicus (Norway rat)
Lineage: Eukaryota; Metazoa; Chordata; Mammalia; Rodentia; Muridae
Source: RNAcentral